This 207-nucleotide ribosomal RNA is filed under the name uncultured bacterium. RNAcentral describes it as "partial 16S ribosomal RNA". It matches the Rfam family "Bacterial small subunit ribosomal RNA", at positions 568 to 774 of the family's 1533-position model. The record is from RNAcentral.
CUCGUAGGUGGCCAACUAAGUCAGACGUGAAAUCCCUCGGCUUAACCGGGGAACUGCGUCUGAUACUGGAUGGCUUGAGUUUGGGAGAGGGACGCGGAAUUCCAGGUGUAGCGGUGAAAUGCGUAGAUGUCUGGAGGAACACCGGUGGCGAAGGCGGCGUCCUGGACCAACACUGACACUGAUGAGCGAAAGCCAGGGGAGCAAACG